Molecule: ribosomal RNA, 563 nt
Filed under: uncultured bacterium
Lineage: Bacteria
Description: partial 16S ribosomal RNA
Rfam family: Bacterial small subunit ribosomal RNA
Source: RNAcentral
UGGGGAAUCUUAGACAAUGGGGGAAACCCUGAUCUAGCCAUGCCGCGUGAGCGAUGAAGGCCUUAGGGUUGUAAAGCUCUUUCAGCUGGGAAGAUAAUGACGGUACCAGCAGAAGAAGCCCCGGCUAACUCCGUGCCAGCAGCCGCGGUAAUACGGAGGGGGCUAGCGUUGUUCGGAAUUACUGGGCGUAAAGCGCACGUAGGCGGAUUAGUCAGUCAGAGGUGAAAUCCCAGGGCUCAACCCUGGAACUGCCUUUGAUACUGCUAGUCUUGAGGUCGAGAGAGGUGAGUGGAAUUCCGAGUGUAGAGGUGAAAUUCGUAGAUAUUCGGAGGAACACCAGUGGCGAAGGCGGCUCACUGGCUCGAUACUGACGCUGAGGUGCGAAAGCGUGGGGAGCAAAACAGGAUUAGAUACCCUGGUAGUCCACGCCGUAAACGAUGAAUGCCAGUCGUCGGGUUGCAUGCAAUUCGGUGACACACCUAACGGAUUAAAGCAUUCCGCCUGGGGAGUACGGUCGCAAGAUUAAAACUCAAAUGAAUUGACGGGGUCAUAGCUGUUUCCUG